UUAAGCGACUAAGCGUACACGGUGGAUGCCCUGGCAGUCAGAGGCGAUGAAGGACGUGCUAAUCUGCGAUAAGCGUCGGUAAGGUGAUAUGAACCGUUAUAACCGGCGAUUUCCGAAUGGGGAAACCCAGUGUGAUUCGUCACACUAUCAUUAACUGAAUCCAUAGGUUAAUGAGGCGAACCGGGGGAACUGAAACAUCUAAGUACCCCGAGGAAAAGAAAUCAACCGAGAUUCCCCCCAGUAGCGGCGAGCGAACGGGGAGCAGCCCAGAGCCUGAAUCAGUGUGUGUGUUAGUGGAAGCGUCUGGAAAGGCGCGCGAUACAGGGUGACAGCCCCGUACACAAAAAUGCACAUGCUGUGAGCUCGAUGAGUAGGGCGGGACACGUGGUAUCCUGUCUGAAUAUGGGGGGACCAUCCUCCAAGGCUAAAUACUCCUGACUGACCGAUAGUGAACCAGUACCGUGAGGAAAGGCGAAAAGAACCCCGGCGAGGGGAGUGAAAAAAGAACCUGAAACCGUGUACGUACAAGCAGUGGGAGCACGCUUCGGCGUGUGACUGCGUACCUUUUGUAUAAUGGGUCAGCGACUUAUAUUCUGUAGCAAGGUUAACCGAAUAGGGGAGCCGAAGGGAAACCGAGUCUUAACUGGGCGUUAAGUUGCAGGGUAUAGACCCGAAACCCGGUGAUCUAGCCCAUGGCAGGUUGAAGGUUGGGUAACACUAACUGGAGACCGAACGACUAAUGUUGAAAAAAUUAGCGGAUGACUUGUGGCUGGGGGUGAAAGGCCAAUCAAACCGGGAGAUAGCUGGUUCUCCCGAAAGCUAUUUAGGUAGCGCCUCGUGAAUUCAUCUCCGGGGUAGAGCACUGUUCGGCAAGGGGGUCAUCCCGACUUACCAACCCCGAUGCAAACUGCGAAUACCGGAGAAUGUGUAUCACGGGAGACACACGGCGGGUGCUAACGUCCGUCGUGAAGAGGGAAACAACCCAGACCGCCAGCUAAGGUCCCAAAGUCAUGGUUAAGUGGGAAACGAUGUGGGAAGGCCCAGACAGCCAGGAUGUUGGCUUAGAAGCAGCCAUCAUUUAAAGAAAGCGUAAUAGCUCACUGGUCGAGUCGGCCUGCGCGGAAGAUGUAACGGGGCUAAACCAUGCACCGAAGCUGCGGCAGCGACACUAUGUGUUGUUGGGUAGGGGAGCGUUCUGUAAGCCUGCGAAGGUGGCCUGUGAGGGUUGCUGGAGGUAUCAGAAGUGCGAAUGCUGACAUAAGUAACGAUAAAGCGGGUGAAAAGCCCGCUCGCCGGAAGACCAAGGGUUCCUGUCCAACGUUAAUCGGGGCAGGGUGAGUCGACCCCUAAGGCGAGGCCGAAAGGCGUAGUCGAUGGGAAACAGGUUAAUAUUCCUGUACUUGGUGUUACUGCGAAGGGGGGGACGGAGAAGGCUAUGUUGGCCGGGCGACGGUUGUCCCGGUUUAAGCGUGUAGGCUGGUUUUCCAGGCAAAUCCGGAAAAUCAAGGCUGAGGCGUGAUGACGAGGCACUACGGUGCUGAAGCAACAAAUGCCCUGCUUCCAGGAAAAGCCUCUAAGCAUCAGGUAACAUCAAAUCGUACCCCAAACCGACACAGGUGGUCAGGUAGAGAAUACCAAGGCGCUUGAGAGAACUCGGGUGAAGGAACUAGGCAAAAUGGUGCCGUAACUUCGGGAGAAGGCACGCUGAUACGUAGGUGAAGUCCCUCGCGGAUGGAGCUGAAAUCAGUCGAAGAUACCAGCUGGCUGCAACUGUUUAUUAAAAACACAGCACUGUGCAAACACGAAAGUGGACGUAUACGGUGUGACGCCUGCCCGGUGCCGGAAGGUUAAUUGAUGGGGUUAGCGGUAACGCGAAGCUCUUGAUCGAAGCCCGGUAAACGGCGGCCGUAACUAUAACGGUCCUAAGGUAGCGAAAUUCCUUGUCGGGUAAGUUCCGACCUGCACGAAUGGCGUAAUGAUGGCCAGGCUGUCUCCACCCGAGACUCAGUGAAAUUGAACUCGCUGUGAAGAUGCAGUGUACCCGCGGCAAGACGGAAAGACCGGGAACUCAAAGGAGACUGCCAGUGAUAAACUGGAGGAAGGUGGGGAUGACGUCAAGUCAUCAUGGCCCUUACGACCAGGGCUACACACGUGCUACAAUGGCGCAUACAAAGAGAAGCGACCUCGCGAGAGCAAGCGGACCUCAUAAAGUGCGUCGUAGUCCGGAUUGGAGUCUGCAACUCGACUCCAUGAAGUCGGAAUCGCUAGUAAUCGUGGAUCAGAAUGCCACGGUGAAUACGUUCCCGGCCUUGUACACACCGCCCGUCACACCAUGGGAGUGGGUUGCAAAAGAAGUAGGUAGCUUAACCUUCGGGAGGGCGCUUACCACUUUGUGAUUCAUGACGGGGUGAAGUCGUAACAAGGUAACCGUAGGGGAACCUGCGGUUGGAUCACCUCCUUACCUUAAAGAAGCGUACUUUGCAGUGCUCACACAGAUUGUCUGAUAGAAAGUAAAAGCAGGCGUCUUGCGAAGCAGACUGACACGUGUCCCUUCGUCUAGAGCCCAGGACACCGCCCUUUCACGGCGGUACAGGGGGUUCGAAUCCCCUAGGGACGCCACUUGCUGGUUUGGUGAGUGAAAGUCACCUGCCUGAUAUCUCAAACUCAUCUUCGGGUGAUGUUUGAGUAUUUGCUCUUUAAAAAUCUGGAUCAAGCUGAAAAUUGAAACACUGAACAACGAAAGUUGUUCGUGAGUCUCUCAAAUUUUCGCAACACGAUGAU
RNAcentral lists this ribosomal RNA (2781 nucleotides) under Escherichia coli. Its description in RNAcentral is "bacterial LSU rRNA". The stretch from base 4 to 2158 matches the Rfam family "Bacterial large subunit ribosomal RNA". The record is from RNAcentral. Lineage: Bacteria; Pseudomonadati; Pseudomonadota; Gammaproteobacteria; Enterobacterales; Enterobacteriaceae.